UUUACUGUUCCCACCUUACUUUUCCACCCAUAUCAAAAUUCUUACGGUCCAAAGACCCAUUUUGUUUCUCCGCAAAAUGAAAUCCCCACAGAGAGCCUCCUUUCACAAAUCCCUUCUAUACCACCAUUAGUAGACUACAUUCAACCAACGUUCUUUAACCAACAAGCUUCGAUUUUUUUUGUAUUUUGGUGCUCUGUCGACUGCUUUCCCCUUUUACAGUGAUUACUUCAAGGUUGUGAGGAACCAUUUUUUGAGGGAGCACUUCCAGUUGUUCAACGAUAUACUAUUGUUGUUGAUGUUGGCUGAUGUUGUUGCUGUGCUCGAUGGUUGCCGGACUUAAA
Molecule: long non-coding RNA, 341 nt
Organism: Nicotiana tabacum (common tobacco)
Lineage: Eukaryota; Viridiplantae; Streptophyta; Magnoliopsida; Solanales; Solanaceae
Source: RefSeq, a predicted model, not a curated record